Non-coding RNA from Pelobates cultripes (western spadefoot toad), 261 nucleotides. The record is from the annotation of a GenBank genome assembly. NCBI's taxonomy places the organism in Eukaryota, Metazoa, Chordata, Amphibia, Anura, Pelobatidae.
CUCACACACAGAUACUUAUCCUGACACACAGAUACAUACCCUGAGACACAGAUACACAAAGCACAGGGGUGCUGUGUUUGUGUGUGUGAAGGUUGCUACGUGUGUGUGUGUCUGUGUGUGUAAGGGUUGCGCUGUGUGUGUGUCGGAGGUGCUGUGUCUGAGGGGUGCUCUGUGUGAGGGGUGCUCUGUGUGUGUAUGUGUGUGUGUAGGGUGCUGUGUGUGAUAGGUGCUUUGUGUGUGUGUGUGGGGUGCUGUGUUAGU